AAAGAGCACGCGCAUUUUUAGCGGUCCGGAGCUGUAGGAGAAACACAAAUUACCUCAGGCACACAGACUGAUGCGACAAAACCAACAUGGCUGGUAAGGACAUGAGGAGGAAACAGUAGGAGCUGUGUGAGGCUACUAAAGGCAGUGGAUCCCUCAGCAGCUGGAUUACAAAGAACACAGUCUCAGAUCAGCACAGCCCUACCCUCCAGCACUAUCAGCAGCAGGAGCAGCAACAACCCCUCAACAGCAACAUUGUACCCAUCAGAGACCUAAAGAUUCCAACAUUGUCCCCAGACGAGGUUUCCACCCUGGAUGCACCUCUGCAGCAGCAGGAGAUCAUAGCGGCAAUAAAAUCGUUACAGUCUCGCCGAUCACCAGGCCCUGAUGGCUUACCGACCGAGUUUUAUGCCGCCUUUGC
Long non-coding RNA from Oreochromis aureus, 418 nucleotides. Lineage: Eukaryota; Metazoa; Chordata; Actinopteri; Cichliformes; Cichlidae. The record is from Ensembl.